UACGGAGGAUGCAAGCGUUAUCCGGAUUUAUUGGGUUUAAAGGGUGCGUAGGCUGUUCUUCAAGUCAGGGGUGAAAGCCCGGCGCUUAACGCCGGAACUGCCUUUGAUACUGUUGAGCUGGAAUACGGAUGCCGUGGGAGGAAUGAGUAGUGUAGCGGUGAAAUGCAUAGAUAUUACUCAGAACACCGAUUGCGAAGGCAUCUCACGAAUCCGUUAUUGACGCUGAGGCACGAAAGCGUGGGGAUCAAACAGG
RNAcentral lists this ribosomal RNA (253 nucleotides) under uncultured Bacteroidales bacterium. RNAcentral describes it as "partial 16S ribosomal RNA". It matches the Rfam family "Bacterial small subunit ribosomal RNA", at positions 524 to 776 of the family's 1533-position model. Lineage: Bacteria; Pseudomonadati; Bacteroidota; Bacteroidia; Bacteroidales. The record is from RNAcentral.